UAGGGAAUAUUGCAAAUGGGCGAAAGCCUGAUGUAGCAACGCCGCGUGUGCGAUGAAGGUCUUCGGAUUGUAAAGCACUUUUUGGAGGGAUGAGGAAGGACAGUACCUCCAGAAUAAGCCUCGGCUAACUACGUGCCAGCAGCCGCGGUAACACGUAGGAGGCAAGCGUUAUUCGGAUUUACUGGGCGUAAAGCGCGUGCAGGCGGUUUGGAAAGUUGGAUGUGAAAGCUCCUGGCUCAACUGGGAGAGGUCGUUCAAAACUUCCAGAAUUGAGAGUGGGAGAGGGAGGUGGAAUUCCGGGUGUAGUGGUGAAAUGCGUAAGUAUCCGGAGGAACACCAGUGGCGAAAGCGGCCUCCUGGACCACUUCUG
Molecule: ribosomal RNA, 370 nt
Filed under: uncultured bacterium
Lineage: Bacteria
Description: bacterial SSU rRNA
Rfam family: Bacterial small subunit ribosomal RNA
Source: RNAcentral